AGUGAACGCUGGCGGUAGGCCUAACACAUGCAAGUCGAACGGCAGCACAGUAAGAGCUUGCUCUUACGGGUGGCGAGUGGCGGACGGGUGAGGCAUACAUCGGAAUCUACUUUUUCGUGGGGGAUAACGUAGGGAAACUUACGCUAAUACCGCAUACGACCUACGGGUGAAAGCAGGGGAUCUUCGGACCUUGCGCGAUUGAAUUAGCCGAUGUCGGAUUAGCUAGUUGGCGGGGUAAAGGCCCACCAAGGCGACGAUCCGUAGCUGGUCUGAGAGGAUGAUCAGCCACACUGGAACUGAGACACGGUCCAGACUCCUACGGGAGGCAGCAGUGGGGAAUAUUGGACAAUGGGCGCAAGCCUGAUCCAGCCAUACCGCGUGGGUGAAGAAGGCCUUCGGGUUGUAAAGCCCUUUUGUUGGGAAAGAAAAGCAGCAGGUUAAUACCCCGCUGUUCUGACGGUACCCAAAGAAUAAGCACCGGCUAACUUCGUG
RNAcentral lists this ribosomal RNA (492 nucleotides) under uncultured bacterium. RNAcentral's name for it is "partial 16S ribosomal RNA". It matches the Rfam family "Bacterial small subunit ribosomal RNA", at positions 29 to 507 of the family's 1533-position model. The record is from RNAcentral.